This 385-nucleotide long non-coding RNA is filed under the name Felis catus (domestic cat). RNAcentral's name for it is "lncRNA (ENSFCAG00000047032.1)". The record is from RNAcentral. Lineage: Eukaryota; Metazoa; Chordata; Mammalia; Carnivora; Felidae.
CGGGGUCCCACAACGUCACCUCAUAGAUGCAGUCGAUGGUUUGUUCCAGAUUCAGGCUUCUUUCCGGGAAGAAACCCUGACAGAAAUUCAGAAGCAUGGGAUGCAUUCCGUUAGGACGUGAAUACAUGAAAUGCUCGUCUCAGGACCUUCUAGAAGAAUGAGCUGGUACCCACUUUUCGAGUCCCGCUGGAACCAGAGACCGAGCUGUAUCUGUGACACAGGACACGAGAGAACGUGCUCAUGUGAACACAAGUGAAGGACACCGUGGGAACUUCCCACACAGGUAAUUUUGGAUUUUUUCUCUUCACAACUUAAGUUCCAGUGCAUGUUUUCUAUCACAAAUAUGCCACAUCUUAUAUUUCAGAUAUUUGUGCCCAGGGCACAC